This 356-nucleotide ribosomal RNA is filed under the name Salmonella enterica subsp. enterica serovar Thompson. RNAcentral's name for it is "partial 23S ribosomal RNA". It matches the Rfam family "Bacterial large subunit ribosomal RNA", at positions 2543 to 2910 of the family's 2925-position model. Lineage: Bacteria; Pseudomonadati; Pseudomonadota; Gammaproteobacteria; Enterobacterales; Enterobacteriaceae. The record is from RNAcentral.
CAUCCUGGGGCUGAAGCAGGUCCCAAGGGUAUGGCUGUUCGCCAUUUAAAGAGGUACGCGAGCUGGGUUUAGAACGUCGUGAGACAGUUCGGUCCCUAUCUACCGUGGGCGUUGGAAAUUUGAGAGGAUCUGCUCCUAGUACGAGAGGACCAGAGUGGACGAACCUCUGGUGUUUCGGUUGUGACGCCAGUCGCAUUGCCGAGUAGCUAUGUUCGGAUGGGAUAACCGCUGAAAGCAUCUAAGCGGGAAGCCCACCUUAAGAUUAGAUUUCCCUAAAGAGCCGUUGUAGACUACGACGUUGAUAGGUUGGGUGUGGAAGCACAGCGAUGUGUGUAGCUAACCAAUACUAAUUGCUC